Molecule: long non-coding RNA, 687 nt
Filed under: Elaeis guineensis (African oil palm)
Lineage: Eukaryota; Viridiplantae; Streptophyta; Magnoliopsida; Arecales; Arecaceae
Description: long non-coding RNA (EGUI_LNC073926)
Source: RNAcentral
UUGGAGAAAGAGUUCCAAAUCAAAUCUAGGUGAUUCUUUGCUAUUCCUCCAUCCUCCAGUGACCUUCAUCGAUCUAUCUUUAACCUCAAAAAGAUCUACAGUGAUUGAAGAAGAAGAUCCAAUUAGAUCAGGCAUCAAAAGCAAUUUUCGUGAGCUAGCACUUUCGGAGACAACAGAUUAGAACCAGGACUUCGUGUGGACAUUUUGUAGAGGCCGGACAUGCUGUGUGGCUGCGAGAAACUAGUGAGGACCUCCAAAUCUACGUUCACGAUCGUGGCAUUUGGCUAUCUGCAUUUAGGUAUUGGGUUCGGAUCUCUGAUUAUUGUAGAUCAGAUCUACUGCUUUACUUGUUUUCAUGCACAUCAUGCAAAUUUUGUUAUUUAGAUUUUUUACAUACACAUAUAUAUGCCAUAGAUCCUAUUGUAAGAUGUUUUAUGAUCAAAUCAUGUGCUUGCAUUAUAGAUUAAAAUAUUUAAUCUAAAAUUAUUUUGUUAUAAAUUUUUAAAAAUACAUGCAUGAAACCCCUACGGUAUUCCUUUAGUGGUAUCAAAGCCGCGUUGCUCAUGACAUGUAUAUUCUACAUGUAUAUUUAUAAAAUCUAAAUUUUAAUUAUUUAAAUUAGAUCUAAAUAAUUAUUUUGAUUUUGAAUAAUAUAGUAGUCAGAUUGGGUAGAUCAUCAUAGCCGUC